UCAUGUACUUUGAAACUUUGUUGUUAGGUGCCUACACAUUUAGGAUUGUUAUUUUUUUUGGAGAAUUGAUCUCUCUAUGUAAUG
Molecule: non-coding RNA, 84 nt
Organism: Ceratotherium simum simum (southern white rhinoceros)
Lineage: Eukaryota; Metazoa; Chordata; Mammalia; Perissodactyla; Rhinocerotidae
Source: RefSeq, a predicted model, not a curated record